GCUUAACACAUGCAAGUCGAACGAACCUUUCGGGGUUAGUGGCGGACGGGUGAGUAACGCGUGAGGAUCUGCCCUUAGGAGGGGGACAACUUUUGGAAACGGAAGCUAAUACCCCAUAUGUCGAGAGAUGAAACUUUUUGGCCUGAGGAUGAACUCGCGUCUGAUUAGCUAGUUGGUGGGGUAAGGGCCUACCAAGGCGACGAUCAGUAGCUGUUCUGAGAGGAAGAUCAGCCACACUGGGACUGAGACACGGCCCAGNCUCCUACGGGAGGCNGCAGUGGGGAAUUUUCCGCAAUGGGCGCAAGCCUGACGGAGCAACGCCGCGUGAGGGAGGAAUGUCUGUGGAUUGUAAACCUCUUUUCUCU
RNAcentral lists this ribosomal RNA (365 nucleotides) under uncultured cyanobacterium. RNAcentral's name for it is "bacterial SSU rRNA". It matches the Rfam family "Bacterial small subunit ribosomal RNA", at positions 46 to 441 of the family's 1533-position model. Lineage: Bacteria; Bacillati; Cyanobacteriota. The record is from RNAcentral.